Molecule: long non-coding RNA, 525 nt
Organism: Callithrix jacchus (white-tufted-ear marmoset)
Lineage: Eukaryota; Metazoa; Chordata; Mammalia; Primates; Cebidae
Source: RefSeq, a predicted model, not a curated record
GGCAGAGGUCGGGUGAGGCUCAUCGCAACAGAUUAACAGAGACAGAGUCCAAAGGCAACGUGAUGAAUUCCAAGUACAGCAUCACAUCCUUAGAACAUCGAGGGGUCAAAAGGAACUAAGACACCUUCUGAGUGAGACCCUGAUUCUGUUGAAAAGGCCUAGAGUGGUGGGGUGACUGCUACUGGGGCACCUCAUUGUCUCCCUCCGCCCACCCACCUGCACCUGACUACCAUGGGCUGUGCCCUCAUGGAGGCACCAUCAAAUGCUAUCAGACCACAGGGAGAGCGUCCUUCAUCCUGCCUGAAGAUGGCAUCCAGGCAGAGUUUUGCUCUUGUUACCCAGACUGGAGUGCAAUGGCGCGAUCUCGGCUCACCGCAAUCUCCGCCUCCUGGGUUCAGGCAGUUCUCCUGCCUCAGCCUCCUGCGUAGCUGGGAUUAAAGCCUUGCCAUGUUUUCUCUUUCGAGAAUUUAUUUUUCAUCUCUUUAUUCACUGGGAUUCUGGACCAUAAUAUAUGUAAACACAAAA